This is a long non-coding RNA of Chenopodium quinoa (quinoa), 426 nucleotides long. RefSeq lists it as uncharacterized. The transcript is spliced from 2 exons. Lineage: Eukaryota; Viridiplantae; Streptophyta; Magnoliopsida; Caryophyllales; Amaranthaceae. The record is from RefSeq and is a predicted model, not a curated record.
ACCCAUUUUAAUUAAGUAAGCCCAAUUCUUUUAUUUGAACCCUUGUGGGUCAAAUAUUUCAUGACUAAAGCCCAUUUAUUUAUUAAGCCCAAACACAAUCCCUACUCAAUACUCUAUAAAUAUCCCCCAAAGCCCCAAAAUUUUCCCCACAAAAGUCAAAUGGUAAAGGUAAUUUAUUUUCUUUUCUUUUCUAUUUUUCUUUCUUUUCUUUUUCUUUCUUUUUUCUAACUCUUUCCCUUCUCCAUUACGUGAAAGCCACCAACACCACGCCACCUUGCAGCCACCCGACGCCGACCACCUCCGGCUGCCCAGCCACCGCGGUGGAGACUUUAAGUUGAGUAAUUUCUAGCAUUGUGGCUAGUUGGAAAGAUGAUUUAAUUAAGGUACGUAUAAGAAUACGAGAAAACUUGAUUUUAGGAGCAUGUU